AGAAAAAAAAAAAUCCUAACUUGUUGCAUAGACCUUUGAAAUCUAAAGCCUUUCCUUGAGUUAUGACAAUGUCUAUUUCCCCAGCAUUAUCCAAAACUAAAACAUUUAGUGCCACUGCAGUAAACUGUACAGCUUUCAAUCAUAUAUAAUCAUAACUUGAAAAAUUAUUCACUCUUCACAGGUUUCCACAAAGAAAAUAUAUCACUUAGAAACUACCUGUUCUCCUUAAGAAGCUUCAAAAAUCAUUUAUAAUAAUAACAACAAUUUCAUUAGGAAUAGCAGGACUGAUAAGCUUAAAAAAGAAAGCACUGAAUACAACUAAAUCCAGGUCAAACAGGAUUAUAUUUGAGCACUGAAUACAACUAAAUCCAGGUCAAACAGGAUUAUAUUUG
Molecule: unclassified non-coding RNA, 392 nt
Filed under: Hevea brasiliensis (rubber tree)
Lineage: Eukaryota; Viridiplantae; Streptophyta; Magnoliopsida; Malpighiales; Euphorbiaceae
Source: RNAcentral